This 727-nucleotide ribosomal RNA is filed under the name uncultured bacterium. RNAcentral's name for it is "bacterial SSU rRNA". It matches the Rfam family "Bacterial small subunit ribosomal RNA", at positions 140 to 853 of the family's 1533-position model. The record is from RNAcentral.
GGGAUAACACUUGGAAACAGGUGCUAAUACCGUAUAACACUAUUUUCCGCAUGGAAGAAAGUUGAAAGGCGCUUUUGCGUCACUGAUGGAUGGACCCGCGGUGCAUUAGCUAGUUGGUGAGGUAACGGCUCACCAAGGCCACGAUGCAUAGCCGACCUGAGAGGGUGAUUGGCCACACUGGGACUGAGACACGGCCCAGACUCCUACGGGAGGCAGCAGUAGGGAAUCUUCGGCAAUGGACGAAAGUCUGACCGAGCAACGCCGCGUGAGUGAAGAAGGUUUUCGGAUCGUAAAACUCUGUUGUUAGAGAAGAACAAGGAUGAGAGUAGAACGUUCAUCCCUUGACGGUAUCUAACCAGAAAGCCACGGCUAACUACGUGCCAGCAGCCGCGGUAAUACGUAGGUGGCAAGCGUUGUCCGGAUUUAUUGGGCGUAAAGCGAGCGCAGGCGGUUUCUUAAGUCUGAUGUGAAAGCCCCCGGCUCAACCGGGGAGGGUCAUUGGAAACUGGGAGACUUGAGUGCAGAAGAGGAGAGUGGAAUUCCAUGUGUAGCGGUGAAAUGCGUAGAUAUAUGGAGGAACACCAGUGGCGAAGGCGGCUCUCUGGUCUGUAACUGACGCUGAGGCUCGAAAGCGUGGGGAGCGAACAGGAUUAGAUACCCUGGUAGUCCACGCCGUAAACGAUGAGUAAUAAGUGUUGGAGGGUUUCCGCCCUUCAGUGCUGCAGCA